RNAcentral lists this ribosomal RNA (240 nucleotides) under uncultured bacterium. RNAcentral describes it as "partial 16S ribosomal RNA". It matches the Rfam family "Bacterial small subunit ribosomal RNA", at positions 96 to 334 of the family's 1533-position model. The record is from RNAcentral.
UGGCGAACGGGUGAGUAACGCGUGAGGAACCUGCCUCAAAGAGGGGGACAACAGUUGGAAACGACUGCUAAUACCGCAUAAGCCCACGACCCGGCAUCGGGAAGAGGGAAAAGGAGCAAUCCGCUUUGAGAUGGCCUCGCGUCCGAUUAGCUAGUUGGUGAGGUAACGGCCCACCAAGGCGACGAUCGGUAGCCGGACUGAGAGGUUGAACGGCCACAUUGGAACUGAGACACGGCCCAG